CUCUACUAAAAAUACAAAAAUUAGCUGGGCAUGGUGGUGUGCGCCUGUAGUCCCAGCUACUCGGGAAGCUGAGGCAGGAGAAUUGCCUGAACCCAGGAGGUGGAGGUUGCAGUGAGCCGAGAUCGCGCCAUGGCACUCCAGCCUGGGUAACAGUAGCGAAAUUCCAUCUCAAGAAAAAAAAAAAAAGAAAUAUUAAAGUAAUAAAUGACAUUCUCAGGGCUGCCUCACAGCGCUGUGCAAGAUGUGCCCUACACAAUCAUGCCCAACCCAGGAGGGGAGUGGGGACAUAGAGCCAGCCCUCAUCUGCUUGCCAACCACACGCCCUGAAGCCAGAAGAACACUUUUUUCUAAUUCACUACAGUUUUUUGCAACCCUGUAGCCUAAGCAGCAUAACUGAAGAGCACAGAACCCGGGAAAGUGGGAGCACCUGGAAGCCCAGGCUACUGACCAGAGAACCGCGGGAUCCACAAAACGCUGACAGUUCCUCUUUUCAGCCACUUGUCGCAGAACAUUACCUACAACCAUCAACUGGCUCAAUUUAUUUAUCUAACAGUACCUCUCAAGUCUAGUGAGCUCUUUUUUGAGAUAUUCUUUUUUUUUUUUUUUUUUUUUUUUUUUUUUUGAGACGGAGUUUCGCUCUUGUUACCCAGGCUGGAGUGCAAUGGCGCAAUCUCGGCUCACUGCAACCUCUGCCUCCUGGUUCAAGUGAUUCCCCUGUCUCAGCCUGCAGACUAGCUGGGACUACAGGAGCAUACCACCAUGCCCAGCUAAUUUUUGUACUUUUAGUUUAGACAGGGUUUCACCAUGUUGGCUAUGAUGGUCUCGAUCUCUUGACCUCAGGGUGAGACACCUGCCUCGGCCUUCCAAAGUGCUGGGAUUGCAGGCAUGAGCCACUGUGCCCGGCAGAGAUAGUCUUCUAAAAUAUUAUCAAUAGCUACUUGAGUUGUGCUUUGCAUAAUAUUUCUUUUAAACAUCGAUUUUUUUAAAAUUUCAAUUAGAAAAUGGGGAAAAGACAUCAACAGCCAC
Molecule: long non-coding RNA, 1026 nt
Filed under: Callithrix jacchus (white-tufted-ear marmoset)
Lineage: Eukaryota; Metazoa; Chordata; Mammalia; Primates; Cebidae
Description: lncRNA (ENSCJAG00000083213.1)
Source: RNAcentral